Molecule: long non-coding RNA, 2747 nt
Organism: Megachile rotundata (alfalfa leafcutting bee)
Lineage: Eukaryota; Metazoa; Arthropoda; Insecta; Hymenoptera; Megachilidae
Source: RefSeq, a predicted model, not a curated record
ACCGCCCACUACCAUAUACGGCCUCUCCGUACGCGCGGGUAUUGAGGUACCAUCGCCGCGCAUACGAGUUGAAUAAUUCAGGGACGCGAUCGUAUGCCAUGGUGCCCCGAGAUUCAACGCGAUUCACAAAUCGAUCGGGCGAUCACUUCUAUCGCGUGACUCUUGUCAUUCACCGCAACUGUACUCGCACGAAUUUUAUCUUAUGUACACCUCUGACGAACAAUAUACACAGUAUCGCGACUCUCAAUAUAUAGUAACAAUUUCAAUCGUGAAAUUGAGCAUUUUAUAUUUGAGAUUAGGAAUUCAGAAUUUUAUUAGAGCAUAAGAAAUGAUUACUAAAUCGACACUUGAUAUGAACAACAAUGUAACUAGAUCAUGUUUACGUUAAAGGUACAGCGGUUCAUAUCAAUUGCCAAAAUAAGGUUGCAUAAUAAAUGCGAUGUGUACAUUUGUCAUAUGUGUAUUCACAGUUAAUUAAUUUGUUACAUAAGGCUUUUAUGUGAUAUAAUAAACGAAUAUGAAUUUUCUCUAUAAAUCUAAUAAAGUUAAUUUGUAUCGUAAAUUGAAAAAAAUAUCAAUAUUUAUAACUUUGUCUCUAAAUUUGAAUGCACUCAUGAUUACAGUCAGGUUGAGAAUCCCUUUGAGACAUCUAAAACUUGAACGCCCAUCAUCUAUUUCUUAACUUAAUCGAGGCAUUUUAUAGUCCGAUUAUUAGUCAUGCAUCGCAGCAUCCAUGAAUAAAAACGUCCAAUGAUCAGAUUUUGAAAUAAGACGAAUUAGUUUUGAAAGUUGAGUGACGAGCGCCCAGGUUUUGGAAGUACACACGUAGAUCCGUACGUAAUCUUUCGAAAUUUAAUCAAAUAACUAAUCGUCCAUGGAAACUCACGCGAUGCUUCAAAUAAACCAGAAACUAAAUUUAGGUUUCAACGUUAACUCGAUAUUUUAAAGUCGGCCGUACGUACACUUUGUAAACAAAGAGAUUAAACGCGAUGUAUAUGAGAUACAUAUUAAAGAUUCCGUGUGCACGUGUGUAUACCGAUGACGCGUAGCAAUGCACGUAGAACAAUGAUUUUUUAAUUAUAUACAUUAUUAAAAUAUGUCCUGAUUAUACAGUUAUUAUGUCGUAUACUAAUUCUUUUUCUUUCUAUCAAUUAUUUGUGAGAUCUUAUAAAUAUUUCCUAUAAAUAUGUAUACGUAGUGGAUGCAAUAGUGUAGACGUAGCCCACGCGACAUGAAUGGAAAGUCACGUGAAACUGGCGCGGCGUUCAAUGUGUGAUCUCAGAAGAUCAUCAUACAAUAUAUUGUCAUUAUUGCAGGAUACUCACGACCAAUAUUGUCAAUACACCAUUGUUAAUUUAUCUUAAAUUAAAUUUUCAAAUUUCCUAAUUUAAAAGUUCUUAAAUGCAUAAGGUCCUCAUCAAAUCACUUCUAAACUUCGUAAUUUUCCAAACUUCUAAAUUCCUUGAACGCAAUAAUACAAACGACCUUAACACUUCGGCCUUGCUCGCGAACGGGGGCGACACCCGCUAUGUAACACCAAAUGAGGGCCAUGUAUCGAGAACCGUCAUUGAAAAUGAACACGUGCACGUGGUAAAACAUUUCCGACGGAUCUCAUGUUCGGUUACGUGAGACUGAGCAGCCGUGAGAGGACCUCACCCCCGGGAGCUGCCACGUCCACGGAAAAUACGUCGGGGGUGGCGCACUCCUGCUGCGUUUUUAUCAUAAUACGUGCUCGAAACUCCAAAAGCGUUUUGAAGCAAAUUUCCUAUUCCCAUAUUACAAAUUCUCCAAUAUAAAAAUUUCCAAAUUCACAAAUCUGAUAUUUAAAAAAUUCCAAAUCAAACACCACUUUUCCCAAGUUUCAAAUUCCACACUUCCAAAUUUGUUAAUCUAACUUGAAGAAUGAAAAAAUUCUCUGUAACCCUCAGUCCUCAAGCUGUGUGUGUCCCUAAUUUUCCUUAUAGGAAGUCAAAUAUGUUCAGUGUACUUUGUACAUAAUCUAUAAAGGAUCAUUGGAAGACGAACGAUCGAUUACCGAAGGUUGCCGGUUGUCGCCUUAACGUUCUCCCACGAGUGUUACCUUUUGCGCCACAUCCAACGCGCCUACACGCGUAUAUCGGUUGAUGUAAAGUAGCACUGACGUCAUACGACAUCUACCGUACAUGGUCCUGCCGAGAAAUUGCGUGGGUGUCACAUAUUAUUAAGUAUUUCUCUUGUGUCGUUUCAAACCGCGAUCAACGGAUACUUUCUAGUUUCUCUUUUCGCGUACAGGAAUCAGAGGUACUUGAAAAUAUCCAAGUACGCGCGAUUAACGCCACGUAACAUCCCACGGAACGAUUGUGCCUGAUUUCAAUACCAACUGAUUCAAUUUUCGCACGAAGAACAAAUGGCGAUAUUUUAAAUCAUUUUGUACAAUACACCGCUGGAAUUAAUUUUCGAUCUUGUGAUAGAUGUUAUUACACAACAAUGAGAAAGUUAAGCGGCUAAAAAUAGAUCAUACACGGAGCGUCCCAAGUCACGUGAUCAGGAUAUGGAAAUAACGUUGCAGUUUUGUGUGGACUACAUCGAAGAUAUGCCAUCGACAAAAAAUUGUCAUUCGAGAGGAGGGAGAAUUAUUGUUUGAAGAAACUACUCGACAUUAAUGGCUUCGUCAUUGACUAGAACUACUAAUUAAACACUGAAAAUUUGAAACCUUCGACAUUUUUACGAGUUUGUAUAAUAUUAAUUUAUUAACGAAUUUUAAAAUA